RNAcentral lists this ribosomal RNA (560 nucleotides) under uncultured bacterium. RNAcentral describes it as "bacterial SSU rRNA". It matches the Rfam family "Bacterial small subunit ribosomal RNA", at positions 31 to 572 of the family's 1533-position model. The record is from RNAcentral.
GAACGCUGGCGGCGGCCUAAACAUGCAAGUCGAGCGGAAACGAGUUAUCUGAACCUUCGGGGAACGAUAACGGCGUCGAGCGGCGGACGGGUGAGUAAUGCCUAGGAAAUUGCCUUGAUGUGGGGGAUAACCAUUGGAAACGAUGGCUAAUACCGCAUGAUGCCUACGGGCCAAAGAGGGGGACCUUCGGGCCUCUCGCGUCAAGAUAUGCCUAGGUGGGAUUAGCUAGUUGGUGAGGUAAUGGCUCACCAAGGCGACGAUCCCUAGCUGGUCUGAGAGGAUGAUCAGCCACACUGGAACUGAGACACGGUCCAGACUCCUACGGGAGGCAGCAGUGGGGAAUAUUGCACAAUGGGCGCAAGCCUGAUGCAGCCAUGCCGCGUGUAUGAAGAAGGCCUUCGGGUUGUAAAGUACUUUCAGCAGUGAGGAAGGGGGUGUCGUUAAUAGCGGCAUCUCUUGACGUUAGCUGCAGAAGAAGCACCGGCUAACUCCGUGCCAGCAGCCGCGGUAAUACGGAGGGUGCGAGCGUUAAUCGGAAUUACUGCGCGUUAAGCGCAUGC